UAAUUUAGAUCAACUUUAAUACGUACGGUAAAUAAACAACAAAACAAAAAAAAACAACUAAAACCUACAGAUAGCAAUUUUUGACAUUAUUUAAUGUUUAAACAGUUAAAACAUGCAACAAUCAUAUAAACAGACAAUAAUAGAUCUACAUCAAUGAAUCAAUUUUUAACAAUGUGUUAAAAUUUUUAUAACCACUCACACAUCAACAUUAUAUGCUAUUUCAUUGAUACAACAGCUCAGCUAAGUGAAAGACAUGUCAAAGUUUUUAUUCUAUAUGCCAUUCAAUGUUUCACUCUCACGAGGUUAAAGGGUGACUAUAGAAGAAUCUCAUUUUUUAAACUCACUAGUCAAAGGUCUCAUUAUAUAUCAUGUAAAUAUGCCUUUGUGUGACUGAGGGGUCUAACUGUAACCCUUGAAUGAAUACCCUUAUGAAAGACAGCCUAUAAUACAAAUAGGGUAUUCACAUCACACUCUGAGACACUCUGUGACUGACUGAACCCAACACACUCCCCCCCCCCU
Biomphalaria pfeifferi is the source of this 519-nucleotide non-coding RNA. The record is from the annotation of a GenBank genome assembly. NCBI's taxonomy places the organism in Eukaryota, Metazoa, Mollusca, Gastropoda, Planorbidae.